GUCUACAGCCAUGCUACCCUGAACAAGCCCGAUCCCGUCUGAUCUCGGAAGCUAAGCAGGGUCGGGCCUGGUUAGUACUUGGAUGGGAAACCACCUAAGAAGACCAGGUGCUGUAGGCG
RNAcentral lists this ribosomal RNA (119 nucleotides) under Pteropus alecto (black flying fox). The record is from RNAcentral. RNAcentral also lists the same sequence under 1 other name. Lineage: Eukaryota; Metazoa; Chordata; Mammalia; Chiroptera; Pteropodidae.